CGGAAAUGCUUGAGAAAAGAAAAGGGGACAUAAGCUUGAGGUUUUCAAUAACAAAUGCUCUUAUACCUAGAAAUUUCUAGGAACAUAAGUUUGGCAUAAAUUCAUAAUCUAUAUAUAUAUAUAUAUAUAUAUAUAUAUAUAUAUAUAUAUAUAUAUAUAUAUAUAUAUAUAUAUAUAUAUAUAUACAUAUAUAUAUAUCGAUAUCUCACAAUAGAACAUUAUCGUAAACAUGCAGUUUUUGAGAAAUAUUUUUGGGCUUAAGUUGGUAUUAAUUAUUACAAGUGAAGUAUUCCAAGGAAUUUGAUAGCAGCACUGUUCU
This 319-nucleotide long non-coding RNA is filed under the name Malus domestica (apple). Its description in RNAcentral is "long non-coding RNA (MDOM_LNC006050)". Lineage: Eukaryota; Viridiplantae; Streptophyta; Magnoliopsida; Rosales; Rosaceae. The record is from RNAcentral.